RNAcentral lists this ribosomal RNA (374 nucleotides) under uncultured bacterium. Its description in RNAcentral is "bacterial SSU rRNA". It matches the Rfam family "Bacterial small subunit ribosomal RNA", at positions 28 to 404 of the family's 1533-position model. The record is from RNAcentral.
GACGAACGCUGGCGGCGUGCUUAACACAUGCAAGUCGAGCGGUAAGGCCCUUUCGGGGGUACACGAGCGGCGAACGGGUGAGUAACACGUGGGUGACCUGCCCUCAGCUCUGGGAUAAGCCUGGGAAACCGGGUCUAAUACCGGAUAUGACUCCAUGACGCAUGUUGUGGGGUGGAAAGCCUUGUGCGGCUGAGGAUGGGCCCGCGGCCUAUCAGCUUGUUGGUGGGGUGAGGCCUACCAAGGCGACGACGGGUAGCCGGCCUGAGAGGGCGACCGGCCACACUGGGACUGAGACACGGCCCAGACUCCUACGGGAGGCAGCAGUGGGGAAUCUUGCGCAAUGGGCGAAAGCCUGACGCAGCGACGCCGCGUGA